This 491-nucleotide long non-coding RNA is filed under the name Callithrix jacchus (white-tufted-ear marmoset). Its description in RNAcentral is "lncRNA (ENSCJAG00000057157.2)". The record is from RNAcentral. Lineage: Eukaryota; Metazoa; Chordata; Mammalia; Primates; Cebidae.
GUGUGAUGAAUAAGCAGUUUUUCAACUGUAUUCACUUUCGUAGAGUGUUUUAGGAAGGGAGAAUACGUAAGUGAAGUCAUGAUUAUCAGCCCAUUCUUGAUCCUAUCUCCAACACAAUCUCCAUCCCCUGAGUGAGGUUGAAUGAUACUUCUUUUGUCUUUUAUCACUGUAGAGGAGCAGGAAGCAAAGAUUUUGAAAUUUAUCCAUUAAGAAUAAUCAUGAGAGAUUAAAUCCAGCUGCUCCAAAACACAGUCUCAAGAUUCAAAUGUUGCAAAGAAAAAAAAAGAGAUGAUGUUUCAGACUGCAGACCACAUCUAAGAAGACAAAUUCAUCAGGAAAACCUCAUGAAUCCCAUUUUAAUAAAGACACUUCACUUUUAGAGCAGUCUCACUGUAUUACCCAGGCUGGAGUACACACAGUGGUGCAAUCACAGCUAACUACAACCUUGGUCUCCUGGGCUCAAUCAAUCCUCCCACCUCAGCAUCCCAAGU